RNAcentral lists this ribosomal RNA (653 nucleotides) under Rhizoctonia solani. RNAcentral's name for it is "eukaryotic LSU rRNA". The stretch from base 240 to 393 matches the Rfam family "5.8S ribosomal RNA". The record is from RNAcentral. Lineage: Eukaryota; Fungi; Basidiomycota; Agaricomycetes; Cantharellales; Ceratobasidiaceae.
AAGGAUCAUUAUUGAAUUAAUGUAGAGUUUGGUUGUAGCUGGCUCCUAAUUAAACUUGGGGGCAUGUGCACACCUUUCUCUUUCAUCCCAUACACACCUGUGCACCUGUGAGACAGAUGUUUUGUGGGGGGGAAGGAACUUUAUUGGACCUUCUACUCCCCCUUGACUUCUGUCUACUUAAUUCAUAUAAACUCAAUUUAUUUUAAAACGGAUGUAAUGGAUGUAACACAUCUAAUACUAAGUUUCAACAACGGAUCUCUUGGCUCUCGCAUCGAUGAAGAACGCAGCGAAAUGCGAUAAGUAAUGUGAAUUGCAGAAUUCAGUGAAUCAUCGAAUCUUUGAACGCACCUUGCGCUCCUUGGUAUUCCUUGGAGCAUGCCUGUUUGAGUAUCAUGAAAUCUUCAAAGUCAAACCUUUUGUUAAUUCAAUUGGUUCUGCUUUGGUAUUGGAGGAUUAUUGCAGCUUCACACCUGCUCCUCUUUGUGCAUUAGCUGGAUCUCAGUGUUAUGCUUGGUUCCACUCAGCGUGAUAAGUUAUCUAUCGCUGAGGACACCCUGUUAAAAAGGGGUGGCCAAGGUAAAUGCAGAUGAACCGCUUCUAAUAGUCCAUUGACUUGGACAAUAUCUAAUUUAUGAUCUGAUCUCAAAUCAGGU